This 562-nucleotide ribosomal RNA is filed under the name uncultured bacterium. RNAcentral describes it as "partial 16S ribosomal RNA". It matches the Rfam family "Bacterial small subunit ribosomal RNA", at positions 355 to 907 of the family's 1533-position model. The record is from RNAcentral.
UAGGGAAUCUUCCACAAUGGACGCAAGUCUGAUGGAGCAACGCCGCGUGAGUGAAGAAGGUUUUCGGACCGUAAAGCUCUGUUGUUGGUGAAGAAGGAUAGAGGUAGUAACUGGCCUUUAUUUGACGGUAAUCAACCAGAAAGUCACGGCUAACUACGUGCCAGCAGCCGCGGUAAUACGUAGGUGGCAAGCGUUGUCCGGAUUUAUUGGGCGUAAAGCGAGCGCAGGCGGAAGAAUAAGUCUGAUGUGAAAGCCCUCGGCUUAACCGAGGAAUUGCAUCGGAAACUGUUUUCUUGAGUGCAGAAGAGGAGAGUAGAACUCCAUGUGUAGCGGUGGAAUGCGUAGAUAUAUGGAAGAAUACCAGUGGCGAAGGCGGCUCUCUGGCCUGCAACUGACGCUGAGGCUCGAAAGCAUGGGUAGCGAACAGGAUUAGAUACCCUUGGUAGUCCAUGCCGUAAACGAUGAGUGCUAAGUGUUGGGAGGCUUCCGCCUCUCAGUGCUGCAGCUAACGCAUUAAGCACUCCGCCUGGGGGAGUACGACCGCAAGGUUGAAACUCUAAAG